GGCUCGGUGCAGGUUUUCCGGUUUUAAAAAAGACGCGUGUGGUGACAGAUGAGAAUGGUCCAGAAAAAUCAACGGUAUGAUUACUAAUUAUUAAUAAACACAUUUAAUCCAUGCUGAGGUGCAUUUAUAUUCAUUUGUGACUGUGUCCACAGGAGUCAGAGACAAAGACAGAUGACAACAAUGACCUUCCCAAACACGAUGAGGUGCCACAGAGACCAAAAUGGAUGCCACCAAAACAUCCAGGAUUUGGAAAUCCACUUAUGUCUGAAUUAAAGAACAAACUGAAGAAAACCACAACUGAGUAAAGAGUGAGAGAAGAUGUCGUGCCGAGCCUUUUGGGAAUAACAAAACAUACGUAUAUUGUUGUAUUUAUAUACUGGAACACAGCAGUGAGGUGUUUCCCUUGUCACCUCUUGCGUCGUUUACCUUUUGUAAUAAAGCUUAUUUCUGCAAAAAAGUGUUGUGUUUUUUUUCAUAAAGCAACUGUAGCUCAUCUUUUCAGCAGACUGUGAUUAUGGCCUUGUCAGUAACUAUAGUCAACACCACACGAAAUUACUGAGAAAGAAAUGGCUCAAAAACAUCAUUUUAGAUUAACCCUUGUUCGUAUAAGGUCAAAAAUAAAGCCUUAAGCUUAUUUUAAUUAAAAAUCAAUCAAAAAUAAUACAUUUAAAGGUUUGUUAUCAUAUUCUAAUUUAUUUUGUGUUUUAAAUCAAAACCGUAGGGGGCGGUAUAGUCCUUAAUUCAGUUCUGCAACUAACUUCCGCGAAGAAGACAGAGAUCGUUCUGAUUGGUUAAAACAUGUCCAAUAAAUUUGAAGGAGCUUUGCAACUUGUUUUGAAUGAGAGCGGUGUUACAGUGGUCUAAGUCAGUUUUUGAAGUAACCUGAAAACGUCACUUUUGAGAGGCUGAAGGGACGGAAUCUCAGCCCUGUGUCGAAAACAAGAUUGCUCAAUUUUUCAUGUAAAGUCGAAGCAGGCAUUGCACAGUAUGGCGAAUGUGGGGACACGGCAAACGUCCCGUUUUGUGGAGGAGUCCGAUGAAUGCCAGGAAAAUGUCGCACUAGAAGACACUGCUACAGCUGGAAGGCCCAACGUCCAAGGCAACCGCAGAGAAGUCGAAGCAAAAUCAAAAUUGUGUGGUCUCCAGUCAGCUUUAACGCCAAAUUUAAGAAUCUUAAAUAUAAGCAACAAAUCUCCAUCUGGGAAACCUGUGAAAUAUGGAAUGAGUCCUUGUUUGAACCGUCCCUGUUUUCCAUUAAAUCAGUCCAUAGCUUGUCAGAAACCAGCAACAAGUUCUGGCCUCUCAGAUUUGUCUCCCAGCCAUAUUGGAGGGUCGUUGGGAGACAGGAAUGCUUCUUUGUGCUGGUGGUAUAAUGAAACAAUGCCAGAAGUUUCUCUCCUUGAUGAUACGUGUGAUUCCACAAUGCAGUCUAGUUGGGCACCACCUAGUACAGACCCUAAUGCCAAUGUAGUUAACACUCCUGCUGGGGUAAAUGCUCCUCGAUGCUGGUUGGACGGCAGAUUCUCUCCAGACAUUACACUUCUUGAAGUUACACAGGAUUCAGAGCUUUCACCGGUAGGAAAUAUUUGCUCUGCUGAGACCACGCAAGGUAAUUACUCAAAAAUAAACACCCCUUCUGUAAAAGUUGGUGGAGAAAAUGUGAUGCAGCUCAGGGAACUGGACAUAAAUCGGAGCGAAGAAUUUUCUUUGUCUGCCAAUUCCACGGCCACCAUAACCUCACUGAGUCUACAACAGUCUACCGACGUGUGUGCAGGGGAAAAAGUAGUCAAAGUUUCCGCGGCUCAAGAUGUUUCUAUGGAAAGUGAGAACAGUAGGUCCUCAACAGGACUAAGUGAACAAGACGAGAUGAGUCAAACAUCAACCGAGGACAAGCUUGGCAUCCAUCCUGCUAAUGUUACUCGUGACAUUAGCUCAUCUGACGUGUCUGCUGCAUCACAGUUGUCUACUACAGAUAUGCAGGUCACCACCAGCUCAACAUUUGAACUUCAUGGGGAGCCUGCGGGUGCUGAAAAUGAAAAUCUACCUACAAGCUGCGAUACGGAGAUGACCAGCAAGGUACAGCAACGCAAGUCCGAGAUAGUGGAAUCUGACAGCAACACAUUUACAGUUUCCCAGUCAUCCAUAAAUGGCACCACUAAUGUAAACACAACUACUGACAUGGCCCAGUCGCUCAAUAACAGAGAUGCGGCUAAUGACACUCAAGAGCAGGAUAAUUUGGCUACUAAUAACGCUACUGAAAAUCCCCUCAAUAUUGAUCAAAAUAGCUCUGCUGAUAAGUCAGGCAGUUCAUGUGACGUGAAGAACGGCACAUUUGAUCAGCAUUCUGUUCAAACCUCCCGUGAGAGUAUUGGUUUACAAGAAACUGGCCUCCAGAACAACACUUUUGACAUGAAAUCAUCAUCUAAACGAAACACAAUGACUUUGUCAGAAAUUACAUUGGGUGAUGUACAUCAGGACACUCUGGACAAGUCCUCCCCGUCUAAAGUUUGUAGUACAACCACCAGCUCUAAAGACUGCAAUUCUGAAGUUCAUGCUACUGAACCAACAAAUGCUGAUUGGACAUCUAAGGUCAAGAAAGCUGACCUCCGAGAUAGAACAUUUGAAUCUAGUCUAGUUGUAAAGACAGCUUCUGAAGCUGAGCAUCCCGAGUCUAAUGAUCAACCAGAUCUGCCUUUGACAGACUGUCCUUCUGAUGGGCUGGGCCACCAUAGCAUAAGUAUGAAGAACAGCAAAGAAAACGAUUUCAACUUGGAUGACACCCUCGACAUAAGGAUGGAUUAUCUGGUCACGUCCACGCCAAUGGCUAACUGUAAGAUUAAUAGCUUAUGCAAUGAACAAGACAAUGGCCAAAUUGUCAGAGCACUGAAAAAAAAUGAUUUGUACUGUCCCAGUAAACAUGCUCUUCAGGUGCCAUCAGCCAUUCCAUCAAACAUUGUUUGUGAAAGAAAAACAUUCUUCAGGCAGCCAGCUGCUGCCUCCUCUUUGCCUCCCUUCAAAGCUGCAUCCCACUUGAAACCCAAACCAGCCUCUACAGAAGGCAGAGGACGUGGAUUGGCGCCAUCAGUGACAGGUCUGGCCAUGACACGAUCAAGAACCCUGGCUUUAAAGAAUACUUCUGCUCCUGAUCCAGCCCAGGGGGUCUCAGGAACCGCAAGGUCUUACAGCUUGCGUGCUGCAACAGCAGGAUCCAAGCACCCCCCUUCUGGCCUGCUAAGACCACAGACGACUGGUAUUCCCUCAUGCACCCUCAGCAGUCUGAGACCCCUGUUAACAAGAAGCACCAUACCUGCCUCCUCUACUAAUGACAAAAUCUGUGGUCCUACAGCCAGUAACCCACUGGUGAAGCAUCCCCAGACAAAGAAACACCAGUUGAACAGAUUGGAGUCUUUGCCGACAUCUAAGAGGAAGAAAAUGGACGCAGCAGUUGCGGUCAAGAUUGCUGAAGCCUCUGCCUCUUGUGACGCUGCCGGCAAAGCCAGAGUCCUGAAGCCGCCUGCAACAAUCCAUAGAGUUCUGCUGCCCAAACCCCCAGCUCAUGGAUGUGCAAAAUGCAUUGAGCAAGAAGAAGAAAUAAAGAAUCUAAAAGAAGGUCGUGCAAAAUUAGAAGAAGAAAUACAUAAACUUAAGGAAGGUAUGUCUCCAAAUGAUUUUAUUGCAAACUACAUGGAGAAUAUGUGCCAGUGUGUAGUGAGGGUCCUGUGUUUUAAUAGAUUUUUGUAUAUAUUGUUAUCCUUCAGUGCUGAGUAA
Molecule: long non-coding RNA, 3768 nt
Organism: Betta splendens (Siamese fighting fish)
Lineage: Eukaryota; Metazoa; Chordata; Actinopteri; Anabantiformes; Osphronemidae
Source: Ensembl